RNAcentral lists this ribosomal RNA (254 nucleotides) under uncultured bacterium. Its description in RNAcentral is "partial 16S ribosomal RNA". It matches the Rfam family "Bacterial small subunit ribosomal RNA", at positions 524 to 776 of the family's 1533-position model. The record is from RNAcentral.
UACGAAGGGGGCUAGCGUUGUUCGGAAUUACUGGGCGUAAAGGGCGCGUAGGCGGCGUGUCAAGUCAGGCGUGAAAGCCCCGGGCUCAACCUGGGAACCGCGCUUGAGACUGGCAUGCUCGAGUUCGGGAGAGGAUGGUGGGAAUUCCCAGUGUAGAGGUGAAAUUCGUAGAUAUUGGGAAGAACACCGGUGGCGAAGGCGGGUCUCUGGGCCGAUACUGACGCUGAGGAGCGAAAGCGUGGGGAGCGAACAGG